CACAGAGAAUAAUAUAUUUGUCACAUGUCAUUUACUGAAUGAGAAAUAAAGAGGUGAGGACUGAGAGUAAUCACUCUAACAGAGAGAGGAACAAGUGAGCCAUAGAGAACAGACAGAGAGGGGAGGAGAGAGAGGGAGAGAGAAGAGAACUCUUAGCCACCCCACUUAACCAUCCUCAGGCGUGUCGCUUAGCAGUUCUGCAUCUCGUUGUUAUCAGAGAGUACAAGUAGGCUACAGAUUGUCAAAGAAAGCACUGUCUUUGUACUAUUCUCCACAUCCCACUGUAACUCUUAAAUUCCCCGGGGCUGGACUUCAUACAGAACAGCAAGAGGUAGAACAGUCAUCGGUGGAUAGAGAUUGACGUUGAACUACAGACCGUAGAUAACCUGGGGCUGGAAUAGACUACUAUGGAGUCAGCACAGAAUAAAGCUCAACCAACUUCUCCUAAUAAACAGACAGUGAAGAACAGGUCCAAGUCAACAGAUGAGAUUCAACAAGCCAAAAAGGCUUUUCAUACGACACAGAAAUCGUUGCCAGGGAAGCCGGAGACUGAGAAUAAGGAACCCCCAGAGAGUCCAUCCUCAUCAGAAGAACUGAAAUGAAGGGGCAGACAGUGCCAGGCAGAGAGUCGUCUGCAGUUUGUAUUCUCAUAACGAUAAAAAACUCUGUCCAUUUUUUGUAAACGUCUUAUGAAUGUGGUUGUUUACUAAAUAAGAAAAAGUGUCAAAUGUAUUGCUUGGGAGGAUAUAAUUAGAGUUCCAAGAAUGAAUAGAGACUUACUCUACCAAACACAGGCACUUAACAGAAAGCAUUCGUUGUAAUUAAAUUGAGUGGAAAACAUAUGUGCAUGUGUCAGUUGGGAUCUGUGUGAGCAUGCAGUAUAGUGGAUCUAACACAUUUGUUAUGUACUUUCUCCUAAAACACUUUUUUUUUGGAACUGAUGUCAGAAUUAAUGUCUGUAUACCACUUUGAAAAUGUGAACCAAUUGAACCUGUAAAUAAACCUUGUGUAUG
Molecule: long non-coding RNA, 1013 nt
Organism: Coregonus clupeaformis (lake whitefish)
Lineage: Eukaryota; Metazoa; Chordata; Actinopteri; Salmoniformes; Salmonidae
Exons: 5
Source: RefSeq, a predicted model, not a curated record